This 456-nucleotide ribosomal RNA is filed under the name Triticum aestivum (bread wheat). RNAcentral's name for it is "partial small subunit ribosomal RNA". Lineage: Eukaryota; Viridiplantae; Streptophyta; Magnoliopsida; Poales; Poaceae. The record is from RNAcentral.
AGCGACUUCAGACCUAUAAAUCUAAUUCACGGGGCUGCCAAGAUCUUUGCCAAAGUGCUUGCGGUGCGUGUGGCCCCCUACCUGCAUGCUCUCAUAUCUCAGGCUCAGAGCGUGUUCAUAUGCAAACGAAACAUGCAUGGGAACUUUAAGUUUGUGCGCAAUACGGCACGAUGGCUGCACCAAAAUCGCAAGCAAGCGAUUUUGAUGAAGAUCGACAUAUCCAAAGCUUUUGAUACUUUAUCUUGGGAGUUCCUUCUCGAGGUUCUGAGGAAAAGAGGAUUUGGCCGAAGAUGGUGCUCCUGGAUUUGUGGCCUCCUUUCUACAACAUCCUCAUUGGUUCUCGUCAAUGGUGAAUUGUGCCAGCCGUUUGCACUAGGUCAGGGAGUUAGGCAAGGUGAUUCCUUGUCGCCUACUCUGUUUAUUCUUGCCAUGGAAACAUUGCACAACAUGUUAUAG